Molecule: ribosomal RNA, 315 nt
Filed under: Escherichia coli
Lineage: Bacteria; Pseudomonadati; Pseudomonadota; Gammaproteobacteria; Enterobacterales; Enterobacteriaceae
Description: bacterial SSU rRNA
Rfam family: Bacterial small subunit ribosomal RNA
Source: RNAcentral
AAAUUGAAGAGUUUGAUCAUGGCUCAGAUUGAACGCUGGCGGCAGGCCUAACACAUGCAAGUCGAACGGUAACAGAAAGCAGCUUGCUGCUUUGCUGACGAGUGGCGGACGGGUGAGUAAUGUCUGGGAAACUGCCUGAUGGAGGGGGAUAACUACUGGAAACGGUAGCUAAUACCGCAUAACGUCGCAAGACCAAAGAGGGGGACCUUCGGGCCUCUUGCCAUCGGAUGUGCCCAGAUGGGAUUAGCUAGUAGGUGGGGUAACGGCUCACCUAGGCGACGAUCCCUAGCUGGUCUGAGAGGAUGACCAGCCACA